Molecule: long non-coding RNA, 642 nt
Organism: Mandrillus leucophaeus (drill)
Lineage: Eukaryota; Metazoa; Chordata; Mammalia; Primates; Cercopithecidae
Exons: 2
Source: RefSeq, a predicted model, not a curated record
GGGGUUUCACCAUGUUGCCCAGGCUGGUCGCUAAUUCCUGGACUCAAGCAGUCCACCAGUCUUAGCCUCCCAAAGUGCUAGGAUUACAGGCGUAAGACUGCAACUGGCCAUGCCUUUUUUUUGUUUAAUGAAACCAAUGACAAGGUAAAGGUCAGUGUUUGUGCUUUAGCAUUUCUUCUUAAAGAAAGAUGAAACUCUUCAUAAUAGUGAUGAAUUAAGAUGGAAGAUUAGCUGAGUUGAACUUACUAUGGAUAGUGUGUAAACCAGUUGCAUCUAUUUGAAGUUCUUACUGUGACGAGUGGUCUCUAAGGAAUGUAUUUGUUGAAAAGUCUUUGGUACAAACCAAGAAAGGUAACCUUUAUCAAAAAGACCAAAUAAAUUCUCAUUGUCCUAGUUCAUGAAAUAAUACUCAGGGCAUGCACCUCACAACUUAGAAAAUGCGCGUUACCUCACCCUACUGGCUUCCAUAUUACACGUGCAAGAGAUAUUUGUAUGAGAGAAUGAGUGCUUCUAAGUCAGUGAAACCUACCAACCUAUAUAUACCCUCUGACUUUUUUUUUUUGGAGACAAAAAUUUGCUCUUGUUGCCCAGGCUGAAAUUGUGCCACUGCACUCCAGCCCGGGCUACAGAAUGAGACCUAUC